AAGUCUGGUGCCAGCAGCCGCGGUAAUUCCAGCUCCAAUAGCGUAUAUUAAAGUUGUUGCGGUUAAAAAGCUCGUAGUUGAAUCUGUGUGCCACGCUGUCGGUUCAUCGCUCGCGAUGUUUAACUGACAUGAUUGUGGUACGUCCUACCGGUGGGCUUAGCCUCUCGGGGCGGUCCAGCUUAAUAUCCCAUCGCGGUGCUCUUCAUCGAGUGUCGAGGUGGGCCGGUACGUUUACUUUGAACAAAUUAGAGUGCUCAAAGCAGGCUAUGUUCGCCUGAAUACUGUGUGCAUGGAAUAAUGGAAUAGGACCUCGGUUCUAUUUUGUUGGUUUUCGGAACCCCGAGGUAAUGAUUAAUAGGGACAGAUGGGGGCAUUCGUAUUGCGACGUUAGAGGUGAAAUUCUUGGAUCGUCGCAAGACGGACAGAAGCGAAAGCAUUUGCCAAAAAUGUUUUCAUUAAUCAAGAACGAAAGUUAGAGGUUCGAAGGCGAUCAGAUACCGCCCUAGUUCUAACCAUAAACGAUGCCAGCUAGCGAUCCGCCGAAGUUCCUCCGAUGACUCGGCGGGCAGCUUCCGGGAAACCAAAGCUUUUGGGUUCCGGGGGAAGUAUGGUUGCAAAGCUGAAACUUAAAGGAAUUGACGGAAGGGCACCACCAGGAGUGGAGCCUGCGGCUUAAUUUGACUCAACACGGGAAACC
This 697-nucleotide ribosomal RNA is filed under the name Ceratosolen emarginatus. RNAcentral's name for it is "SSU rRNA". It matches the Rfam family "Eukaryotic small subunit ribosomal RNA", at positions 557 to 1214 of the family's 1831-position model. Lineage: Eukaryota; Metazoa; Arthropoda; Insecta; Hymenoptera; Agaonidae. The record is from RNAcentral.